This 253-nucleotide ribosomal RNA is filed under the name uncultured bacterium. RNAcentral's name for it is "partial 16S ribosomal RNA". It matches the Rfam family "Bacterial small subunit ribosomal RNA", at positions 524 to 776 of the family's 1533-position model. The record is from RNAcentral.
UACAGAGGGUGCGAGCGUUAAUCGGAAUUACUGGGCGUAAAGCGUGCGUAGACGGUUAUUUAAGUCGGAUGUGAAAGCCCCGGGCUCAACCUGGGAAUUGCAUUCGAGACUGAAUAGCUAGGGUGCGGUAGAGGGAAGCGGAAUUUCCGGUGUAGCGGUGAAAUGCGUAGAUAUCGGAAGGAACAUCAGUGGCGAAAGCGGCUUCCUGGACCAGCGCCGACGUUCAGGCACGAAAGCGUGGGGAGCAAACAGG